Molecule: ribosomal RNA, 255 nt
Filed under: uncultured bacterium
Lineage: Bacteria
Description: partial 16S ribosomal RNA
Rfam family: Bacterial small subunit ribosomal RNA
Source: RNAcentral
GCAAGUCGAACGAGAACGGGUAUUAGUUUACUAAUACUGUCAGCUAAGUGGCGCACGGGUGAGUAAUAUAUAGUUAAUCUGCCCUAGAGAAAGGGAUAACGUUUGGAAACGAACGCUAACACCUUAUAUGCCUUUAUCACAUAAGUGAGCAAGGGAAACAUUUAUGGCUCUAGGAUGAGACUGUACGGUAUCAGUUAGUUGGUGAGGUAAUGGCUCACCAAGACAAUGACGCCUAACUGGUUUGAGAGGAUGAUC